Molecule: small nuclear RNA, 192 nt
Organism: Suncus etruscus (white-toothed pygmy shrew)
Lineage: Eukaryota; Metazoa; Chordata; Mammalia; Eulipotyphla; Soricidae
Product: U2 spliceosomal RNA
Exons: 1
Source: RefSeq, a predicted model, not a curated record
AUCGCUUCUCGGCCUUUUGGCUAUGAUCAAGUGUAGUAUCUGUUCGUAUUAGUUUAAUAUCUGAUACAUCAUCUAUCUGGCGACAAUAUAUAAAAUGGAUUUUUGGCACUAGAAACUGGAAUAGGAGCUUGCUCUGUCCAUUUCAUGUAUUGACCUGGUAUUGCAGUACCUCCAAGGAACAGUGCACCAAAA